UUUAUAAAAUGAUAAUUACCAAAUAAAAAAGCAUUUUAAUUUACGAUAAUAUAUUAACAAAUCUAAUUAUUUAUUUAAGAUAUGAAGACUUUAUAACACAAUAUAAAUUAUUUUUAGACAAUGAUAAUUAUAAAUCAAUAAAAUUUCUUUUUAAUUAAUUGUUAAUUAUAUACUAACAAAUAUAUUUAUUUAUUAAGGAUUAUAAAUAUUUUAGUGGCUUUAACUUUAAGUAUGAGAGUUCAGAGGCAAAAAAUCACUAUACAAAUUACAAUAUAGAGUAUUAAAAUAAAUAUAAAUUAAUUAAAUAAAUAAAAGUUUAACUAUACCAAACAAUCCGCGCGUAGCACAGAUAAAAGAUCUAAGAAGUCAACAAAUAAAGAACCGGUAUACAAGUCGGUGUUACUUUCUUUUAAAGACAAGUACAAAAAUAAAAUUUAAUAAUUUUAAAACCAAUCAAAAUUUAUACAGUACUAAUUAUAAGCUUUGCAAUUGUUUUACAUAAAAAUAAAUAACGAAGAUAAAGAAUAUAUAUAGAUCUUAACUUAUAAUUUAGUUAACUUUUUAUUAAUAUUACUAAUAUCCUAUAUAAAACUCCAAUAAACACACAACAAUUUAUUUCAAAUAUUUUUUAAAUUUGCAUUUAUGUUUAUAAUUCUAUAACAAGUUUCAGUGUAUAUCAUAUUUGUUCUAUUUUAAAAUAUAAAUAUAAAAUUAAACAAAUAUUAUAGGAAAAAAUCCGGGCGGAAAACCCCCUAGUCUAUAUUAUAAUCGGACAGUAAGCUGUCCACGUGUCCACCUUUGUGGAUCCCACCGAAAAUAUGUAUUUGGGUUUAAUGAAGAUUUUGUGUGUUUAUGGCCCAAAUAAGCCUCUUUGGUCUGUUAACUUCCUCUUCGAUGGAAAUCUAUCGCUUCAGCCUCCUCUGAAACACAAGUGAUCCUUUCAAUUUCCACGAAUCGAUGUAUCUUCUUCUAACCCUACUUCUCUUUACCAUGUUCAUCAUUAAAAGUUCUGAAUCGUUACACCUUUGUACUUCCUCCCUAUAUAUGCUUAUAUUAAAUUUUGGAACCCUGCAUCUCAAAUACACUCAUCGUUUAUCUCCCCGGCUAGGAUUAUAACAACUAGUCCAAAAUGAAGAUAGGAGGGUAGAAUCAUGUUGGAAGCGUAAAAUAUGAAGACGUAGAAUAGUGCCAUAGCUAGCGACGCAGGAUACCACUACCGCAGGCAUCGAGAUGUCUCCAUGGGAAGCCAUGUUCAGAAGAUAGUGAAGGAGAUGGUAAAGCUCCAACGAAAAAUUCACUGGCUAAACGUACAGUGAAUUUUUCAAUCAGUAGUUGCAGUCUAAAUCUGAACCAAGUCUUUCCAUAUUCUAGAUCUAGAAGUAUAUACUGUCAAAAUCAACCAGAUGAAAUAAUUUAGUGGAUGCAUGUCAAGUAGAUUUACGAGGCUACAAAGUGUUCACUGUACAUGGCAGGGAAAAAGUCUACUUAACGUUCAGUUGUAACACUGGUGGUGAUAUGGGCAUGAACAUGGUAACCAAAGGUGUGCAUACUGUUAUUGACUACCUCACCUAUGAUUUCCCAUACAUGGAUGUGAUCGGAAUCUUUGGUAAGUUCCUUUGUGUAUGUUAUUGGUUUGAUAUGAUCGUAUUAUUAGACUGCAGUUUGUAAAACGAUUCGAGUGGAAGUUUAGUAAACUUAGUAACCACUCGAAACUGUUUUGAGCAUAUUAGUAAAAAGUGAAAACGAGUGUGGCUGUCUUGGUGGAGCUCAAUAUGCUCAAUAAAUUCUCACGCCAGCAACAUAGUGUUUGAUGAAUUCAUAGCUACUUGCCAAGAUCCAGCUCAAAACAUUGAGAGCUCACAAUGCAUCACAAUGAUGGUAGCCAUUAAUGGUAAAGAUAUACAUAUCUCUACUACCACACCAUCUAUUGAGUUUCGGGUUGGGACAGUGAGAUAAGGAACACAGUUUCCGUCUCAAUCGACUUGGUUAAACCUCCUAUGCGUUAAAGGAACGAGCAUGGAGCCGAUGGGGAUGAACUCAAGGACGGUAGCUAUGAUAGUGGCAUGAGCAGUUUUGGCCCGAGAGUUAUCUCUAAUAUCAGCAAUUGCAGCUGGGCAACUUAUAAGUAGUCACAUGAAAUACAAUAAGAUCCAUCAAAGACAUCUCUGGAACAACGACAUGGACGGCAACAAUGUUAUCUGAAUCUUACCUUUACAAAAAAUAUUGAGUGUUUCAACAUUGUGCAGAACACAUAGCGUUUUAGUCUGUACAUUAAUCUUUUCAAGAAGUUGGAGGGAGCAAGAGCAUGUAAGUUUAUACAUCUAUCGUCUUCCAAAACCAAAACAAAAA
Molecule: long non-coding RNA, 2349 nt
Organism: Brassica napus (rape)
Lineage: Eukaryota; Viridiplantae; Streptophyta; Magnoliopsida; Brassicales; Brassicaceae
Exons: 2
Source: RefSeq, a predicted model, not a curated record